RNAcentral lists this ribosomal RNA (384 nucleotides) under uncultured bacterium. RNAcentral describes it as "bacterial SSU rRNA". It matches the Rfam family "Bacterial small subunit ribosomal RNA", at positions 28 to 412 of the family's 1533-position model. The record is from RNAcentral.
GACGAACGCUGGCGGCGUGCUUAACACAUGCAAGUCGAGCGGUAAGGCCCUUUCGGGGGUACGACGAGCGGCGAACGGGUGAGUAACACGUGGGUGACCUGCCCUCAGCUCUGGGAUAAGCCUGGGAAACCGGGUCUAAUACCGGAUAUGACUCCAUGACGCAUGUUGUGGGGUGGAAAGCCUUGUGCGGCUGAGGAUGGGCCCGCGGCCUAUCAGCUUGUUGGUGGGGUGAUGGCCUACCAAGGCGACGACGGGUAGCCGGCCUGAGAGGGCGACCGGCCACACUGGGACUGAGACACGGCCCAGACUCCUACGGGAGGCAGCAGUGGGGAAUCUUGCGCAAUGGGCGAAAGCCUGACGCAGCGACGCCGCGUGAGGGAUGAC